AUGCAAGUCGAGCGGAAAGGCCCUUCGGGGUACUCGAGCGGCGAACGGGUGAGUAACACGUGAGCAACCUGCCCUAGGCUUUGGGAUAACCCUCGGAAACGGGGGCUAAUACCGGAUAUUACCUUCUUCCGCAUGGUGGGGGGUGGAAAGUUUUUCGGCCUGGGAUGGGCUCGCGGCCUAUCAGCUUGUUGGUGGGGUGAUGGCCUACCAAGGCGACGACGGGUAGCCGGCCUGAGAGGGCGACCGGCCACACUGGGACUGAGACACGGCCCAGACUCCUACGGGAGGCAGCAGUGGGGAAUAUUGCACAAUGGGCGGAAGCCUGAUGCAGCGACGCCGCGUGAGGGAUGACGGCCUUCGGGUUGUAAACCUCUUUCAGCUCCGACGAAGCGUAAGUGACGGUAGGAGCAGAAGAAGCGCCGGCCAACUACGUGCCAGCAGCCGCGGUAAGACGUAGGGCGCGAGCGUUGUCCGGAUUUAUUGGGCGUAAAGAGCUCGUAGGCGGCUUGUCGCGUCGACUGUGAAAACCCGCGGCUCAACUGCGGGCCUGCAGUCGAUACGGGCAGGCUAGAGUUCGGUAGGGGAGACUGGAAUUCCUGGUGUAGCGGUGAAAUGCGCAGAUAUCAGGAGGAACACCGGUGGCGAAGGCGGGUCUCUGGGCCGAUACUGACGCUGAGGAGCGAAAGCGUGGGGAGCGAACAGGAUUAGAUACCCUGGUAGUCCACGCUGUAAACGUUGGGCGCUAGGUGUGGGGGGCCUCUCCGGUUCUCUGUGCCGCAGCUAACGCAUUAAGCGCCC
Molecule: ribosomal RNA, 798 nt
Filed under: Micromonospora sp. WMMB 412
Lineage: Bacteria; Bacillati; Actinomycetota; Actinomycetes; Micromonosporales; Micromonosporaceae
Description: bacterial SSU rRNA
Rfam family: Bacterial small subunit ribosomal RNA
Source: RNAcentral